GCCUUCGUGGUGUAAUGGUCAGCACGCUCGACGCGCAUUCGAGAGGUCCGUGGUUCGAGUCCCGUCGAGGGCA
RNAcentral lists this transfer RNA (73 nucleotides) under Stegodyphus dumicola. RNAcentral's name for it is "tRNA-Ala". It matches the Rfam family "tRNA". From Rfam's summary of the family: Transfer RNA (tRNA) molecules are approximately 80 nucleotides in length. Their secondary structure includes four short double-helical elements and three loops (D, anti-codon, and T loops). The record is from RNAcentral. Lineage: Eukaryota; Metazoa; Arthropoda; Arachnida; Araneae; Eresidae.